This 233-nucleotide ribosomal RNA is filed under the name uncultured bacterium. RNAcentral describes it as "partial 16S ribosomal RNA". It matches the Rfam family "Bacterial small subunit ribosomal RNA", at positions 99 to 334 of the family's 1533-position model. The record is from RNAcentral.
CGGACGGGUGAGUAACACGUGGGUAACCUACCCAUCAGAGGGGGAUAACACUUGGAAACAGGUGCUAAUACCGCAUAAUGUCUGCGGACCAAAGCGGGGGACCUCCGGGCCUCGCGCCAUCAGAUGAACCCAUAUGGGAUUAGCUAGUAGGUAAGGUAACGGCUUACCUAGGCGACGAUCCCUAGCUGGUCUGAGAGGAUGAUCAGCCACACUGGGACUGAGACACGGCCCAG